This 658-nucleotide long non-coding RNA is filed under the name Sus scrofa (pig). Its description in RNAcentral is "lncRNA (ENSSSCG00055026700.1)". Lineage: Eukaryota; Metazoa; Chordata; Mammalia; Artiodactyla; Suidae. The record is from RNAcentral.
AUGAGGGCCGGGCCUGGAGCCCGUCCUGGCUCCAGACGCCUCCCCAGUGGGAUGGGGCUGGCAGCCGUGAGGCUGGGAGCGGGGGAGAUAAGAUCGGGUGACUCACCGCCUGGCUGGAGGGGCUGCUCUGUGAGACGGGGUGUGGAGCCAGGCCAGGGCAUCAGGCUCGCCGUGGACGCGGGUUUAUCUCCCAUGGAGCGUCUCAGCAGAAGUCAGACCCAUGAGUCUAAAGCCAAGCGGGGCGCGGCCUGGCCGCGGCGAGGGCUGAGCCAGGUGAGAAAAAGAAGAGUUGCCAUAAACAAAUCUUUCCAAACCUGGGAGCCGUGCACAAAGACCAUGGACCCCCUGGGCUGCGAGCCCCUCCCCGCCCCGCUCCAUCCUCCACACCCACCGGACGCCUGGCUGUGGCGUGGCGGGCUCUGUGUCCACCUGCGGCCCCUCUAUGGCCCCCACCUGGCAGGGGCCCAGGGGUAGGAUGCAGGUCCCUCUGCGGCGUGGCUGUCGGACUGCAGGCUGGCUUGGAGUGACCUCCCUCUGGCACCCUUCAGGGAAGACUUGACUGCUGUGCAAACCGCCGCCCGGGUCCCUCUGCCUGAGCCAGCCCGUGCAGGUGCCACACCUCCGCCUCCCGCCACCAUCCGUCCAGACCUGGGCCUGC